UCCUUCAGGGUGGCCAGGAGGUGCUGAC
RNAcentral lists this non-coding RNA (28 nucleotides) under Mus musculus (house mouse). The record is from RNAcentral. Lineage: Eukaryota; Metazoa; Chordata; Mammalia; Rodentia; Muridae.